Molecule: ribosomal RNA, 429 nt
Filed under: Chloroflexota bacterium
Lineage: Bacteria; Bacillati; Chloroflexota
Description: Chloroflexi bacterium partial 16S ribosomal RNA
Rfam family: Bacterial small subunit ribosomal RNA
Source: RNAcentral
UGGGGAAUAUUGCACAAUGGGCGCAAGCCUGAUGCAGCCAUGCCGCGUGUAUGAAGAAGGCCUUCGGGUUGUAAAGUACUUUCAGCGGGGAGGAAGGGAGUAAAGUUAAUACCUUUGCUCAUUGACGUUACCCGCAGAAGAAGCACCGGCUAACUCCGUGCCAGCAGCCGCGGUAAUACGGAGGGUGCAAGCGUUAAUCGGAAUUACUGGGCGUAAAGCGCACGCAGGCGGUUUGUUAAGUCAGAUGUGAAAUCCCCGGGCUCAACCUGGGAACUGCAUCUGAUACUGGCAAGCUUGGGUCUCGUAGAGGGGGGUAGAAUUCCAGGUGUAGCGGUGAAAUGCGUAGAGAUCUGGAGGAAUACCGGUGGCGAAGGCGGCCCCCUGGACGAAGACUGACGCUCAGGUGCGAAAGCGUGGGGAGCAAACGGG